GGAUAGCAGAAACUCGUUAACAGUUUUAUGAGGUAAAGCGAAUGAUUAGAGGCCUUAGGGUUGAAACAGCCUUAACCUAUUCUCAAACUUUAAAUAUGUAAGAAGUUUAUCGUUACUUAAUUGAACGUGAACAUUCGAAUGAGAGUUUCUAGUGGGCCAUUUUUGGUAAGCAGAACUGGCGAUGCGGGAUGAACCGAACGUGAGGUUAAGGUGCCAAAAUUUACGCUCAUUUAGAUACCACAAAAGGUGUUAGUUCAUCUAGACAGCAGGACGGUGGCCAUGGAAGUCGGAAUCCGCUAAGGAGUGUGUAACAACUCCCCUGCCGAAUGAACUAGCCCUGAAAAUGGAUGGCGCUCAAGCGUAAUACCUAUACCUCACCUUUAAGGUUAAAGUGAAGCCU
This 400-nucleotide non-coding RNA is filed under the name Rhizophagus irregularis DAOM 197198w. Its description in RNAcentral is "Eukaryotic large subunit ribosomal RNA". It matches the Rfam family "Eukaryotic large subunit ribosomal RNA", at positions 976 to 1374 of the family's 3401-position model. The record is from Rfam by way of RNAcentral. Lineage: Eukaryota; Fungi; Glomeromycota; Glomeromycetes; Glomerales; Glomeraceae.